CACGAACUGUGCAAACGUUAUUCGGAAUUACUGGGCUUAAAGAGUUCGUAGGCGGCUUGUUAAGUCGGGUGUGAAAUCCCUCGUCUCAACCGAGGAAUUGCGUUCGAAACUGGCAGGCUUGAGUGAGAUAGAGGUGAGCGGAACUGAUGGUGGAGCGGUGAAAUGCGUUGAUAUCAUCAGGAACACCGGUUGCGAAGGCGGCUCACUGGGUCUUUACUGACGCUGAGGAACGAAAGCUAGGGGAGCGAACGGG
RNAcentral lists this ribosomal RNA (253 nucleotides) under uncultured bacterium. RNAcentral describes it as "partial 16S ribosomal RNA". It matches the Rfam family "Bacterial small subunit ribosomal RNA", at positions 524 to 776 of the family's 1533-position model. The record is from RNAcentral.